Molecule: non-coding RNA, 27 nt
Filed under: Rattus norvegicus (Norway rat)
Lineage: Eukaryota; Metazoa; Chordata; Mammalia; Rodentia; Muridae
Source: RNAcentral
AGUGGGGCCGAGGUAUGUUAGUGCCGC